UACGUAGGGUGCGAGCGUUGUCCGGAAUUAUUGGGCGUAAAGAGCUCGUAGGCGGCUCGUUGCGUCGGCUGUGAAAACCCGCAGCUCAACUGUGGGCUUGCAGCUGAUACGGGCGGGCUGGAGUUCGGUAGGGGAGACUGGAAUUCCUGGUGUAGCGGUGAAAUGCGCAGAUAUCAGGAGGAACACCGGUGGCGAAGGCGGGUCUCUGGGCCGAUACUGACGCUGAGGAGCGAAAGCGUGGGGAGCGAACAGG
This 253-nucleotide ribosomal RNA is filed under the name uncultured bacterium. RNAcentral describes it as "partial 16S ribosomal RNA". It matches the Rfam family "Bacterial small subunit ribosomal RNA", at positions 524 to 776 of the family's 1533-position model. The record is from RNAcentral.